RNAcentral lists this ribosomal RNA (253 nucleotides) under uncultured bacterium. Its description in RNAcentral is "partial 16S ribosomal RNA". It matches the Rfam family "Bacterial small subunit ribosomal RNA", at positions 524 to 776 of the family's 1533-position model. The record is from RNAcentral.
UACGGAGGGUGCAAGCGUUAUCCGGAUUCACUGGGUUUAAAGGGUGCGUAGGUGGGUUGGUAAGUCAGUGGUGAAAUCUCCAGGCUUAACUUGGAAACUGCCAUUGAUACUAUCAAUCUUGAAUGCCGUGGAGGUCAGCGGAAUAUGUCAUGUAGCGGUGAAAUGCUUAGAUAUGACAUAGAACACCACUUGCGAAGGCAGCUGGCUACACGAAUAUUGACACUGAUGCACGAAAGCGUGGGGAUCAAACAGG